Long non-coding RNA from Juglans microcarpa x Juglans regia, 96 nucleotides. RefSeq lists it as uncharacterized. The transcript has 3 exons. The record is from RefSeq and is a predicted model, not a curated record. Lineage: Eukaryota; Viridiplantae; Streptophyta; Magnoliopsida; Fagales; Juglandaceae.
GGAAAAUCAAGGAGUCUUCAUCCCUGAGAAACAUACCACUGGUGAUUAUGUCAUCUGAGAAUGUGCCUUCAAGGAUCAGCAGAUGCUUGGAGGAAG